This 209-nucleotide unclassified non-coding RNA is filed under the name Hevea brasiliensis (rubber tree). The record is from RNAcentral. Lineage: Eukaryota; Viridiplantae; Streptophyta; Magnoliopsida; Malpighiales; Euphorbiaceae.
GAACAUGUUUAUAAAUCAUUCCUAGACAUUUUGAAUAUGUAUCGGAAGGAACACAAGGACAUAGAUGAGGUCUACAGUGAGGUUUCUAGUGUUUUUGAGGAACACCAAGAUUUGCUUGAUGAGUUCACUAGAUUUUUACCAGAUGCUUCAGUGACGCCUAUGAUUCAAAAUGCUCCAUAUGGCCGAAGUUCCAUUCAGCGUUACAAUGA